UACGUAGGGCGCAAGCGUUGUCCGGAAUUAUUGGGCGUAAAGAGCUCGUAGGCGGUCUGUUACGUCUGCUGUGAAAACCCAGGGCUUAACCCUGGGCUUGCAGUGGAUACGGGCAGACUAGAGGCAGGUAGGGGAGAAUGGAAUUCCCGGUGUAGCGGUGAAAUGCGCAGAUAUCGGGAGGAACACCGGUGGCGAAGGCGGUUCUCUGGGCCGGACCUGACGCUGAGGAGCGAAAGCGUGGGGAGCGAACAGG
This 253-nucleotide ribosomal RNA is filed under the name uncultured bacterium. RNAcentral's name for it is "partial 16S ribosomal RNA". It matches the Rfam family "Bacterial small subunit ribosomal RNA", at positions 524 to 776 of the family's 1533-position model. The record is from RNAcentral.